This 28575-nucleotide long non-coding RNA is filed under the name Oryza sativa (Asian cultivated rice). RNAcentral describes it as "long non-coding RNA (OSAT_LNC000314)". The record is from RNAcentral. Lineage: Eukaryota; Viridiplantae; Streptophyta; Magnoliopsida; Poales; Poaceae.
UAUUUUUUAUGGUAGAAAGUAAUGGGUCCACCAUAUUUAAAGGAAAAUAAAUCUAAUUUAUUAGAGUGCCAUGUGACAGUUUAGGAGCGUUUGUAGGAGUUCUAUGUGGCGGCUUAAGAGUGUUUGUAGGAAGUUUAAUGGACUUUUAGUAUAUAAUAGAUAGAUAGAAGAUAGGGUAGGAUUAAACUUUACAAGUGUGAAAAAAACAAGACUCAGGACCUUCGGUCCGAGCAAUUAAAAAGAAAUCCAACUACCGAGUUCUCUCGCGCCUACCAAGGACCACGAUUUUGAUUUUAGACAGAAGGCUACCCAUUUAGAGCUCCUUUUGCUGAAAGGUUCUGCGGCAGAUUCAAGGCUAUCUUGUACACUUAGAAAUGGUUUAAUUUAUAUAUUUACAACGCGUACUUUGAUCUGGAGCUUAAUUUCUGGCCCUCUUCUUUGCGACGGAUCAGGAUCGUGGGUCCACUGCAGAGGAUCUCAGUCCCUUUGCGAUAUCCCCCACCACCACCACAACACACACACGGCGCGUCUCACACAAUAUGUGGAAAAUACCUACAUGGUUUUAAAUUUAAAAAAUCCAUUUUUUUUCUCAAACAAUUUUAUUUGACCGCUUAACCCUUAAAUUAUUUAAAAUGGCUCAUUUUACUUCCUAAUAACAUUUCUCUUUUUAUUAUUCUCUUUAUAGUACAAUUUUAUAGAGCCAUAGAUGUCACUGUAAUCAAUGUUCAAAAAUAUUUUUAAUUUUUUUUCACUAUAAUGCCUGCAAUUUCGUUUUCUUCCUCUUUUAAUUGUAACGUCUGCAAUUAUUUACACCUACGUGGAUCAUCUUUUAGCAACAAAUUUGCAAAAUAAGUGUAUUUAUGUAGAUAAAAUGUACUACAUGACACUUAAAAAAUGUUAUUUUUCACAAAGAGACACCACAUUAUGUGACUUCGCAAAAAGAGGUGGGCAACUAAAUAAUCCCUAAACACUGUUCCUGAUGCGAAAUUCAAUCUGUAUUUUGUUGAAUAAGGGCCAUUUUUCGCGAACGCAAAUAAGGGCUAUUUUGGUUUGAUAAAAAAGUGCCUUACCAAUUUAUUGGUAAUUUGAAUAGCAAUACUGUAUAUUUGGCUUAAAGCCAAAUCGUUGACAAUGCCAAUGAUCAAUUUGGCAUUAAUAUUGAACUUUCCUCUCCGUAUCAUCAAAUAUUUAGUUUCAUAUUGGUAUCAAUCUAAAUAUGUGUAAUACAUUAUACAUCUCUAUCCAUCAAAAUAUUGAUAGUGUCAAAAUUUGCCAAAAAUUUAACACCACCAAAGAUUUAGUAGGGUAGAGAACCAAACAACUCGGAAGCACCACUAAUUUCACUUGACAUGAGAUGCAGAUGUUCUCAGCUGCAAUAUCUUAAGCCUUUUCAAUGUGACCGCUAAUUCUUUGUGCCAGACUGCCAAUCUAACCAAACGCAUCAAUUAAUAAGGGUUAGAAUUGCCGAGUCAUUGUCUGUUGCUUAAUUUACCCCUUUGCUAGUAGUAGACACGGGAGGACAAAGUUUGCCUCUUUGCAUUAAUUUACAUUUCAAAGAUGGCCAAUUAGCAGGAGUAAUUCGGUUCCAAACUUUUCAAUUGACAUCCUCUAACGUAAAAUUAGAUUAGCAUGGUUACUGAUAUUUGAGACCCAUCACUUACAGGCCCAUGUAUCAGUGACCACAUCAGUUAAAGACAUUCUGUCAGAGGAACAACUCUAUCCCAAACUUUCAAUGCACAAUUGUUCUUGUGUAGACGUCACUGUACCUGUAUCUCUCUAGGAUCAUCAAUCGAUGCUUAAUUAAUCAGAACUACCAUGAUGGCAUGAUGUACGACAAUCACUUCUCAUGUCAGUUAUUACGGAGUCACACCGGCGGCAACGUGUCAGCCGGUAGCUGCUGCGCCGCCGCCGCGGCGGUGGCCGUCGACGUGGCUGUGGCUUUCACCACGAUGGUCGCCGGCGGCGAGACGUUGCACCGGCAGAGCGGGCACGUGGAGUGCGAGUGCAGCCACAUGUCGAUGCAGCCCACGUGGAACAGGUGCCUGCACGCCGGCAGCUGCCGCACCAUCUCGCCGGCCUGGACGUCCUCCAGGCACACCGAGCACAGCGCGCACCUCCCCGACUUGCUUCCGCCGCCGCCGCCGUCGUCGGCCGCAGGGCGCGCGUACGCGAACGCCGGGAGCGCGUCGAUCGCCGCGCCGACGAGCCCGCACGUCGCGCACGCCGCCGCCGCGGGCGCCCUCGCCCGCGCCUCCUCCGCCGCCGCUGCUGUCGUCGGCAGCGCCGCCGGAGCCCCGCCGGCAUCCCCGCACCACCGCGAGACGCAGCCGACGGCGCAGAACAGCACCGCGGCCGCCGCGGCGAACACGCACGCCUUGGCGAUGCUCACCGUGGCGGCGAGCACCGACAGCAGCAGCAGCGACGCGCAGACCAUGACGACGGAGUAGCACGCGAGGUACCCACCAUCCCCGCCGCGCUGGCUCGCCGCCGGGCGCCGUUCGCCGUUAAACAUCUGCAGCCUUCAGCUGAAUCACGAGCUCUGAGCAGUGAGCGCGUAGUACGCCAUGGAGCGGGCGCUCUCGGUGGCAAGAAAUACCCGGUCGUGGCGCGCCGGGUGCGCGCUCUCGGCGUCGGCGUCGGCCCCGCGGCGCGGCCGGUUUUAAGGUUUCUGGCCCGAGGUAUUCGCGGCUGAUGGGCCGCAGAUUUGGUCGGCGGCGUUAAGGAAUCGUGGUUUAGAUUCUUGGCUGAUCGCCUAAUCGAGGGAUAAUGAUAGUUUGGGAGGUGAUCAUUGAUGACACGUAGGAAGGCCACUACUUGUGGUAGCCACUAGAGUCCACAUACAGGUCCAACACGACAGGUCCAUUGGUCGUUGAGAUAUUUUCCCCAAUAGGCUAUCAGCAAAAUUGCAUAAUCCACCUAGAAAAUCACUUUCGUUUUAAGAUUUUGUCCAAUAACCCAUUUUUUUGUUACUGAAGCUCACCAUCCAACACAUGUAAGUAGCUGAUUUAGGCCCAUUUUAUUCUGAUGUGGAUUCACAACGGAUCAUAUCAGACACGUCUGGCUCAUCCAGCGUGGCUAUGAUGUGAGUCUCACUCAAGCUCGUUCUCAGGCUAGCUUGGUGGGAAGACGUGGGUUGAACGCUGAGCUGAUCGAACGGCGGUGAUUGGCGGCAAAUCCACAUUGGAAUAAAUGACAUGAAUCAACUAACUACUAUGUGCAUGAAAGGGGCUAAUUUCGCCUCGACAGUGUUGGAUAGGUAGACUUUUAAUCAAAAUGAGUUACGCGGUGAAAUCUUAAAACUAGAGUGAUAAUUAAAAUGGUCUAUGCAAUUUUGUUAGGCUAUUUAGCGAACGUCCGCCGGUUAGUCCCUUAUAGCAGUGGACACGCUUCAUGAUGGUUAGGUUUUUUUUUUUUUUUUACUUUACAACGAUUUUAGAUAAUUGUUGUCAAGAUUUAAGAGUCCGUAGCUAUAUAAUAAAAAAAUAACAGUUAAAAGAUAGAAAUUCCAGCUUUUUAAAACUUUGUCACUAACUGCUCCUUGAAAUUUCCAGCUCUCAAAAGACAUAGAUUUUGUUUCCACUGGAAACCAAAUCAUGAUGAAGUGUUUUGUAACCUUGCAUAACGAAGCUCUUUUCUGUUUUCCUUUUAGAAAGUUCGAGAUUGUGGUGCCCGCUGGUUCUAUGUAGAUUACAUCUUUGCGUGCUUGAUCCUCUCACGUGCUCAAUUUAUGUAAAAGAAUGACAACUAGUAAAAUUGUUAUUAUUAUAACAUAGCACUAUGACCAUGCUACUAACCUUCGAUUGACACAUCAAAAUGUAGCUUCUCUUGCUCUAUUUUGUUGAAUUAUUAGGGUGUAUAAACUAAUAAAAUGGUCAGUAGGUGUGUGCCUUUAGACUUCCCAGCAGGUUUACAAAACCGAUCAUAAUCACGCAGUAAUCACUAUGUAUGGUAACGGUAAAACCAUAAUAACCCUAUCAAAUUUAAAUAAAUUUAUAAAAUAAUAUAAAUUGUUAUAAAUUUUGUAUGAUUACUCACGUUUUGCAUGGUUACUGUAUGGUAGCUGCACUAACCGUCAAGGUAUGGUAAACUCGUGACAAUAAGGGAAGCCUGCUUCAUUGACAUAGUGCUGAGGUCAACAUAUUUUAAGAAAUUACUAUGUUUAUCAAGAAAAGUACUACAUUUUCUUAAAAAAGUUUAUCCAUAUAUUUCCUUUGUAGUGUGAUAACUUUGCUUGCUUGAGCUUCCCACGUGCUCAAUUUAGGUAACAUGAAAAUUGUAAGUAUUUAUGUGGUUGAAAUGAGACAUAUAAAAAUUAACUAGUUGUUACACUCACCUUUGUGUGCUUAACAAAUUGUCAAAAUUACGCCGAUAAUAAAUAUAUCCAACACUAUCAAAAUUUAAUAAUGUCAAAAUGGGUUAAAACUUAACAUUAUCAAAUUUUAAUAGGGUUGGAAGUGGCUACCGAGUGAAGAAGCCCUUUGAUUCACCUAGUGAACUACCUUAAAAUGUACAGCACCAAACUACAAAUACUCUGAAAAAUAUAUACAACAAUUUACUGAAAAUAAAUGAGAAAGAAAAGUAGUUUUUGUUCUUUUUUCUAUCAAUGAUCACAGCUACAAGCUCCUAUCCUGAAUAGUCCUCUUGAGAAUAUACAGAAAUCACACGACACAACCAAUUUGGCCUGCAAAUACGCAUGACAAUCAAUUCCCCUGUUCUAACACUACAAUGUACAAUCCAAGAUUCCUUCUUUCCUAUCGAAAACGAAGGCGAAAGCUACACCGGCGGCAACGCAUCGGGAUCUGCAUACGCCGACGUCGAUUCGGCGGCUUGCGCCGGCGGCGGCGGGGCAGGUUUCGCCGCCGGUUUCCGCGGCAAGACCUCGCAGCGGCAGAGCGGGCAGGUGGUGUGCGAGUGCAGCCACAUGUCGACGCAGUCCCUGUGGAAGAGGUGGCCGCACGCCGGCAGCCGCCGCACCGUCUCGCCGCGCGCCACGUCCUCCAGGCACACCGCGCACAGCACGCUGCCGCCGUGCUUGCUCCCGCCGCCUCCGCCGGCGCCGCCCUCCGCGGGGCCCUCGAACACGAACGCCGGCAGCGUGGCGAUCAGCGCCGCGCCGACGAGCCGGCACGCGCACCGCGUCACCCCCGCGGCGCCCGCUCCCCGCCCCCCGCCCCCCGCGGCGGCGCCGGCGCGCGCGGGCGGGCCCCCCGCGCCGCACAGCGGCACGAACCACCCGAUCACGCCGAACAGCAGCACGGCGAGCCCCGCCACGGCGCAGGCCUUGGUGACGCUGACCGACGCCGCGAGCACGCAGAACAGGAGCAGCGACACGCACGCCACGGAGACCCCGUAGCACGCCCGGCACUCGUAAUCAUCAUCUCCCCCGCCGCUGCCACCGCCCACCCUCGCCGCCGAGCGCCGGGCCGCCGCGACACCGCUCAUGAUAACGCAGCUCAGCUGACACCUUCACAGUAACAAGCAAAACAGUAGCAGCGACGCUCGGCUUGCUCUCGUCAUGGGGGCGCGCGCGGCGGGGGAAGAUAUAGGUUGGCGCUGGCGCGGGGGGGAACGGAUUGGGGUGUCGGGGUACAGCGGCCGGAGUUAGUUAGGGGAGGUGGGAACCGGGAGCGCGCGGGGUGGUGGUGGUGGUUUGGGCACAGCCGCACAAGGUUUAGGGGUGGGGUGGGGUGGGGUGGGUUUUCCGCUUACCGGAUGACGGCGAUGGCCGCAGUUUUGGACUAGGGAGGAAUGUGUCGCGGAAUGCAGUGCCUGUGUCGGGCCGUCGGGACGGGAGCGCGACGGUUUCGUGUCGGGAUGUGGCGCUGAUGGUCUGGUCCUGGUGGUUAUCUGCAGUUGGGUGAUGUCGGCGCGACGGCGGCGGGGCGGGGGAUCGUGCGUGUCAGGUGUACACAAGCGUGUUUUUUUUUCGCUAAUCAGCCGUUGCCAAAAUUUAAAAGGAGUUUAACUGGUUUUUUUUUAUUUUGGAAUCAGACUAACUGGGUUUAUAUUUUAGAUUUGACAGGUGCUCGUAUUUACGGCUAAUUAUUUUUUUUAGUGAUAGAUGACGGAUCCAUCGACAGCGACACACUUAUGGUGACUUCGUUAAUAUCAAAAAUAUGUCGGUCAGUCUUUCGGAGAUGUUUAUAGGGGUGAGUAUGCACAUGUUGUAAACGUAUGUCUUUGUACUAUGUUUCUUAAAAAAAAAAAAGCUGUACAAUUCAUUAUCAACAUUUGGCCAAUUGUUGGGGCUGAGGAUUUGGUACCUUCGGUUUUGGUUAGGAUUUUCACUUCGGAUACAUCAAGUGAUGGGACACGAUUUGAUUACGUGACGAGCAGUUCCAAUAUACUGUUAUAGGGUUAAAUUAAGGUUUUUAAUUAAAAGAGGAACUCUAUACAACAUUCGAAAGCACAAAUAUCUUGGUUGAUCUUCUUAAUUUUGGAUAGGCGUUGUUGGGCGUGGGUGAGGAUUUUCUUUUGAGUAGUAUUGAAUGAUAUUGACGGCUGUCCAUUGGAUUAAGCUAAACUAUUGGCCUUAGAGGGAGUUAGGCUACGUACAAUACAUUGACGACAGGGUAUAGUAGUAGUUAGCACUGCGGCAAAUAUAUGUUAGUCCAGUUAGCUGCAAGCUAUAAAAACUAUCAAAUCCCUUCCACCAUCAGAUAACUGAACAAGUGAACUUUAGUAACACAUAACCAUAACUUUUAUACUUAUUUUGUUACAUAACACUGACAAUUUUAUUUUUCCCUAUUUUGAUGUCAAAUACAGUAUUGAUUUUAUUCUUGUUUUUUAGGUUUUUAUUUUUGCCCCUAGUUAUUUGAAACGAAGGAGGCACCUAUCCUGUUUUUGACGGAAGUUAGUGCAUGUUGAAUUGUUGAGCUAAAACAAUCGAAAAAGGAAAUAAUAAUUUUGCAAUUUUCUGAUUGACCUCUGUACCCCUAGUGAAAGAAGAAAGAAGGGACCAAUGUGGUCAACCGGCUUUGACGCUAUUUCCCUGUUACCGACCCUAGAGAGGCGAUGGCGGCGACUCAUCCAGGCAGCAGCAGGGAGCAUGCUUCAGCGGCGGCAAUGACUCUGUAGGUGAGUAGGAGCAGGCAAUGCCACAGCAGUGGCGACCCAGUGAGGUGACGGGGAGCAAAAGGCGUGGCAGCGAGUAGUCACCUGGCGUGGUGGUGGGGAGUAGGCGGACGCGGCGGUGAUUCCACCUGUUGGCGGGAGCAAACGGCCGCGGCGACUACCCUAUGCGAGGAGUAGGCUAUGAUGGCAGCUGCUUGGCAAGGUGGCAGGGAGGAGGCAACGAUCACAGUGGUUCGACGUGGAGAGGAGGCAAUGGCGAGGAGGAGACAUCAGCAGCGGCUCGAUGUGGGGCGGAGGCGGUAGCGGUGGCUACUAUGCUAGGCGGUGGGGAUGAAGCCAUGACGGUGGCGGCUCAGCGCCAAGAGGAGGUGACGGCGUUAGCGGUUCGACCAGGUGACUGGAAGGAGGCAACUACGACGACUUGGUGCAGGUAGGAGGAGACGACAAUGGCAGCUCCUCUGCCAGGUGGUGGGAGAGGACAACAACAGUGGUGUCUCAUGUAGAGAGGAGACGACGAUGACGACGGCUUGACUAGGCGGUGGCGAGCUGGAGGUCGCAGCGCCACGAGGUGAAGGCCGAUGGUGAGCAGGCGGCAGGGGAGGAGAACCAAGCUGCGGGGUCCUGCUCCGGCCGAGAUCCCGAGACACCUACGCCCUACAAGGUUUCACCCUAUAUGUUAAGAAGAGUGUGAAAACACAGAAGAUUUAUAUCUUCAAAAUAUUAAGAGUGUGAAGAUGUACAAGAUUUACAUCUUAUAGAUAUCUACACCUACACCUUCAUGAUGAGGAUAAACUUAUAAAAUUACAUCCAUUGUAAACUCUUUCAUUAAUAAUGUCUCUGAGAAGCUUGUUUAAAAUAACGAAGACUUCCAUCACUAAGCAUGGAAGUGCGCUUAUGGACCGGGCUCUAGCAGGGUCCUGGAGCACAUCCCGGGACCGGGGGAGCCUGGAAACUCUAUAGUUCAGGGUAACUAAACAAAUGAUUUUUAAGACAUCAUCUUCCUAACUGAAUGAAAUAAAGUAAUAAUUAAUACAAGCUAACUCCAAACCUAACCGCUACAUGUAAAAUACUAACACUUUGCUAAUAACAGAUUAAUUCAUUUGCUAAUAUUCAUGUAAAAAUAUUUAUUUGCUAAUAAUGCCUGCCUGAAUUUCAAUUAUACUUGCUUGGGCAAGCAAGCACCUGCGUGAUACCAACCUUGUAAUAAAUUUUUCGUUUGUUGUCAGUUUCUGCAUAUUAGUUACGCAUAUUUGAUGAAAACAAAACAAUGAACACACAGAAAAUAGGAAAACCCUGUAUUUUAUUAAUCAUGAUUCAUUAACAUGAAUAUUUACAAAUACAUGAGGGCUCCCGCAGGAGUUCGCCUUUUGCCUUCGUGAGGAAUGCUUAAUAGAAAGGUAUGUUGACUGGAGAUUGCGUGCAGUCCACUUAUUCCCGACGCCUAGCAAUGAGGCAGCUGGUUAAUUGCAUCCAUAAGACAAGCCUAUGGAACACCUCCGAUUAAGCUGCGCUUUGUGAUCGUCGUCUUCAAAAUUAAUUGCUCGCCGAAGGUUGAGGUUGGUGCAGAUUUAACGGCGAAUAUAGUAAAUGUGGAACAGGUGGCUUUGUUUCGCCAAAACCCGAUCAUAGUACACCACCAUCACGUCGGUGUACGGAGGGAAUUUGGUGAAGCGAAUGACCUUUGCCUCGUCGGUGCCCAGUCAUGUAUCCCGGUCUUCAUCAAUUAUGGAAUAUGUGGUUGCCUUUGCCUCGUCGGUGCCCAGCAACGGUGUAUCCGGUUCCCAUCCAGUUUGGAUGUGUUAAUAGUAUAGUGACCUAGCAUUGUCGAUACUCGGCCAUGGUUUCAUCUAGCCUCGUCGGUAAUACAUAAAUAGAAUGAGUAAAUGGCUGUAGCCUUGUUAGCUUUAGCUAAUAUGUCGUUUGGCCUCGUCGGUUUCGGAUACAACGCCUUCGUAGUUGGCGUAUGUAUGAGUCAAGCACAGCUCCACCAGUGCAUAUGCAUGGGUCAAAAUAUAUUUUAAUUAUGAAAACAACGCCUAGACAAUCCGAUCGCCAAUGAGGGCCGGGUAUAUCUAGUACCAUUGUUAUUGGUAUCAUAGUAACUGAUAGAAGAUCUGAUCUCCAAAUGAGGGCUGGACGUCUAGUUUUAAUCAUAGAAAAUAUCAAAUGGCACUCAGAUGAUCCAAUCACUAAUGAGGGCCGGACCAUCCUAAUGCCAUUGAUUAUAUAAAUGCAGUCCGAUCAUAGUCAUUUUUCGGCUCUCAUCGAUUUGACUUUAAUCAUCGAGAUAGAUUAAGAAUAUGUAGACGGUCCGAUCACUAAUAAGGAUCGACCAUCUGCCAUGUUUAAUAUAGAAAAUUAAUGUGCUCACCGUCCAGCCCAAAUGUGUUGACUAGCGGCAUGUUGUCGAUGAUGAAGCGGCUUGACGAAAGACGCUAGCCUGCGCUGGCAGGCAUUGUCUUCUGAUCCUAAUCUAUGAGUGAUAUGAGAUAGAGAGUCAAUGAAAAUAAUAGUUGGGUGCCUCCUGUGGCUGUCUUCCGCGUGUCCAGCUCCAGAUGGGGUAUGUGCAGCAAAGGGGUUGGAAACCACAUCCGAAUUUCCAGCACGGGAUGUUGAAAUCAUGCGUUAAUUCUCUUGAUAAGCCGAUGCUCAGAUGAGCUAAUCCAUCGACGUGCUGGAGAUAAAACCAAACACACGUACUAGAGUUUGGAGAUAAUCAUGAGAUUGUCUCUGCUAAUGACAGUGGCCCCACCUUUAAUUUAGUUGGAAGUGCAUCGGAUUGAUUGCUACCAACAAAUCAAUAUAAUCUAUACGUAGUACUAGUCAAUCUCCUUUGUUUGAACAGCUCAAAUCUUCAAACCAUGUAUUAAAUUUGAAAUCUAUUUGCACCACUAUUUUCUAUUAAACAUAUGCAGCGAAACGAGUCCAAUAUUGAUUAUAUUUGGACAUCGUAUGAUAUUUGAAUUUUCUGGUCCCACAUCAUAGAGACACGCUUCACGUCUAUUUUGUAAAAUUGACUGUAAAUUAGUGCUCAAUGAUUUAUUAUCUUUUCUAUGAAUUUUGGUACAAAAAUUCGUCAAACAACGCAAAAUAUAAGUUUUAUGUAGCUUUGUGUGCAACACAAAAUACUAUGAGAUCAUUAUCUGAUUCAGACUAUGUUUCUCAUACAACACGAGACAGAGAUUAUGUCAUAUUCAGACAACGUUUACUGCACAAUGUAAGACAAUAUGGAGAUAUAUUGCCUUCUAUCGUGUUUUUGAGAUGUACAGCUUAUUAUUUUUUAAAAGAUCAUGCUAGAAAUUUUUUACACGAUGUGUUUGACCGCUUCCAUACCUAUAACAAUAACACUCAUACAUAUAGAGAGUACGUAUGUGUAAUUAAAAUAAUCUUCGCCUGUUGAAAUGCACAGACAUUUCUUUCUAGUUUAUAUGAAAAUGCAAGUUAUGGAAAAAUAUUAAAUGUAAAUCAAGAUAUUAUUAUUUAAACAUUUUGAAUGAUUAUGUCACUAAUAUCUCUGUCUUAAAUAAAUUAUGUUAGUUGUUUAAAACCAUUAAGAUUGUUAUUAUUGUUUGGCAUGUCUCAUUUUAGACUUUGUAUAUUAUUGUAAAUGAAAAUAAAUAAAAAGACUAAAUUAUACUAUGCCUUACCACAAUGCCAUAUUGUCAUGGAUGAUCCCGUAUAUAUAUCGGUAAAUAAUCGUUGGAUUGGUUCCAAGUGACAUACCAUGCUAUGCAAUGCACUCCAUAAGCAAUUGCAUAUUCUGAUAAACAAUUCUGACUCUAAAUAUAUACUAACUCUUUUUUUAGAUAAUGGAAUUACUUCCGGCCUUUGCUCAACAUGCUACAACUAAUUAUUACACUAAAUCUUCCGACACUUGGGCUGAGUUUAUUGGCAACCAUUUCCUUGUACAGCUCAGCCCGACGCUUUUAAAUAGGCCUAGUCCUGAAUCCAUUUCUUGGUCUUUUAAAAUUCUGUACAAAUAUUCUCAAUUUUUAAAGCAUCCUAACAAUAAUAAACAAAAUAAUUCAACAUAGAUUUUCUUAGAAUGUGCAGAACGUGUCAUCAUUUCUAACCCAAUGAACACCCUAUUGUUUUUACAUAUCUACACCGGUGGCAAGGCGUCAUCAGCCGGCGGUGAUGUCUCCGCCGCCGUGGUCUCUUCCAUGGCCACGUCCCGGGGCGGCGAGAGGUCGCACCGGCACAUCGGGCAAGUCCGGUGCGAGUGCAGCCACAUGUCGAUGCACUCCACAUGGAACAGGUGCUUGCACGACGGCAUCUCCCGCACCAUCUCGCCGGCGUGCAGCUCCUCCAGGCACAUCGAGCAUGGCUCGCCGUUCCCGGCCUCAAGGUCGCCGCCGCCGCUGUCGCCCUACGCCACCAGACGUGUACAUUGGUAGCACGUCCACUGCGGCCUUCUUGAGCCCAAACGGGUUGGAAGAAGUUCCCGGCGGAAAAGAGGACCAACCGAUGAAGCUAUAAGAAACACAUGAUUUUAAUGUUGAUAUUUUUAUGUUGAUUUUAAGAAAACUUAAUUUUAUUUUGAAAAGAGGACCAAGAAACUAAUGCUCAAGAGGUACGCACUACUUAUGAUGUGUUUCUGUUUGUACAUAUCAUUACUGCUGCUAUAUCCAUGUCUUGUUGCGUAUUACAUGUUGAUAAGAAAAAAAAAUUACUGCUUUUUUUGUUACUGCCAAAAUUACGUCUCUUCACUGCAAUAACUUAUGCGUGUUACUAAGCACAAGAUACGCGUUCGAGUAACAACUAGUGUGGUCUUCACCUUGUUUAAGGAAACAUUGUUUGACAACAUUCCUAGUGAAUGAGGUUUCAGGCGCCAUGGGAGCCUACAUGGUGACCCAUGGUAAGAACCUGUGGUCACAACAUGCUUUCCAGGUUACUGCGGAUCUGGAGUCUGGGCUAUAUGAAUGCGAGUGCAAAACAUGGAUCACACAAGUGUGUGCUCGUUCCAGAUUUAUUAUUGCAAAUGUCCAGUCAUGUUACUGCUGUUAUACUCUCCGUUACUGUGACUACCAUGUUGCAGGCCGCCCACAUGUUGCGAGGGUGCUCUGCCAUCUCCAGGUAGAAAACAUACCACCAAGAUAUGUAUUGAAGAGGUACCCGAGAAGUUCUAGGUAGAAGGGAUACCACCAAGAUAUAUAUUAAAGAGGUACACAAGAAGUGUCAAGCAAUGGUUGUCUUUGAUGAGCACGACUACAGGAGAUUUGGCUUGACAACACAAGCGAGAUAUACGGUCACAUUGUAUUGGUCAAUAAGACUAUUAAAGUUGUUAGAAAGGCAUCAAAAUCAAUGCAAAGCUACGAUAGGACCAUGGAGGUGUUGAAGGAGUUGGAUAUUAAUGGGAUGUCACGUGAACAAUUAUUAAACAAUGAAAAAUCGAAACAAGCUGAGCACAAGCAGCCGAAAGACUACAGCAAAAGGUGCAGUGUCUGUCAGAAAAUUAAAGGACAUAAUAUUAAAACAUGUCCUAGUAGAAGCAAAAGACAAUUGACUUUGAAUUAUCUCGUAUUCAGUUGAUCAGGUUGUAUUCAGUUGAUUAGGUUGCUUGAUUAAUUUAGUUGUGUGGCAAAGAUGUAACUCGCUACUGCACCUUUUAGAUUGCAACCAAACACAGGAAAGUAAAAAAAACGCUUAAAAAUGAUUAACCAAACAAAUAAGAAAAUGGAUACAUUGUAAUCACUUGAUGUUGCAACCGUUUUUCAUACCGUUUACGUUAUCGUGUCCUAACCAAACGCCACAUUAUAAGCAUUCCAUAUAAAGUGUUAUUAAUAUAUUGUGUACUAAUCAAACAUUACCUUAUAAGGAUUCUAUAUGGAUUGUUAUUAGCAUAUUUUGUACUCAUUAAUACUUAAAACGUGUAACAUUUAAGGGAUUGGUGUACACUACUCACAGUUUAAAGAGGUCAAAUAUAUGCUCAAAUCGUACAACAAUAUAUCUAAACAUUUUGACUAAUUAUACCACUAAUAUCUAUGUCUUAAAUAAAUUAUGUUAAUUGUUUAAAAUCAUUAAAAUUAUUGCUAUUAUUUGACAUAUCAUGUUUUAAACUUUAUAUAUUAUUGCAAAUGAAAAUUUAUAAAACAACUAAAUUUUACUAUACCUUACCACUAUGUCAUAUUGUCAUGGAGGAACCCGUAUAUAUAUUCCUAAAUAAUCAUUGGAUUUGUUCCAAGUGACGGACCAUACAAUGCACUCCAUAAGCAAUUGCAUAUUCUGAUAAAUAAUACUGACUCUAAAAUAACCGUUUUGAAGACUGUCUUAUGUAAAUAUGUAGAGCAAUUCUACAGUCCUUGAGGAGGUACCAUGAGGUAGGGGUGGAUAAAAAGCUCGGGCUCGUGAGCUUGGCUCGGGCUUGGCUUGAGCUCGUAAAGCUUGGCUCGGCUUGAAAACUAAACGAGCCGAGCUCGAGCUGCCUCCAUGGCUCGCUUCUAAAUCGAGCCGAGCCCAAGCUGCUCGCAAGCCGCUCGUGAAGCUUGACGAGCUUGUGCAAAAAAAUGGCCUGGCCCAUUAACAGCUGAUUUGGCCCAUGAAAAACCCUAACCUCACCGUUCCUCUCCCACUCCCUUGUCAUUUCCUUUCCUAGACCCCUUCUCACGCCGCCAGCCCGUCACACCGAGUCCACCGCCUUUCAACGCGCGCGCGCGACAGGCGACACCGCUCGAGGCCUAGGGCGCGACCGCGUGAGGCUCCCUGCGCCGCCUCCCUCCCCUGUGCUUUCCUCCCCAGCACCACUCGACGCUCCCUGCGCCGACCUUCCCUGACUCGAUGUUGUUCAUCACCUCGCCGAGACACCAACCCACCGACGGCAGUUUUCGCUGCGAUGAGCCCAGGAUGAAGAUGUUUUGGGAUGUGUUUUCUUAUUUUUCUUAUGCAUGUAGCAAUAGCAUGUUGUGGUCUGUGCACUUGUGGUCUAUUGGUCUUGUGAUUGUGGAGCAAUAGUACGUGUAGUAUGUGCGUGAUGAAUUGAUGACAGAAAGAUUAAGGCAAAUAAAUCAAAAUUGUCAUACCAGUAGUGUAUGUAUGAUGUAUCUGUGACUCUGUGUUACUGUUAGUGCUAUACUUCACUCUUUUUUAGUUGUUCUUGCUACUGCAUUGCAAUUUGCAUUAUUUGAGGCCUACAUGACCUGUAGGAGUUUGAUCCUGAUGCAUACUUAACGUUUACUUGUUGAAAAUUGAUUGCUUUGUUGUUGUAGUGUUUACUUACUGCUAGCAUCACAAGCCGGCUCGAGCUGGCUCGAGCUUUGAAACGAGCCGAGCCAAGCUGCUGUUUUAGUUCGUUUAGUUAAUCAAGCCGAGCCAAUCUAAGCAUGUUCUUUGCCAAGCUUUCACGAGCCGAACCAAGCUUGGCUCGGCUUGCCUCAUUUCCACCCCUACCAUGAGGUACCAAAAUUUUGGUACCUCAUAGUACCUAGGUACCAUGAGGUACCAAAUUUACAAUAGAAAAAAUGGUACUUCAUGGUACCUUCUUAAGGACCGUAAAAUUGCUCAAAUAUGUAACUCUUGUAACUUAUAAACCAUUCUACUUCCUCCGUUUCACAAUGUAAGUCAUUCUAGUAUUUCCCACAUUCAUAUUGAUGUUAAUGAAUCUAGAUAGAUAUAUAUGUCUAGAUUCAUUAACAUCAAUAUGAAUGUGGGAAAUACUAGAAUGACUUACAUUGUGAAAUGGAGGGAGUACUAUCUUUGUCCCAAAAUAAUUAUAAUUCUAAGUUAUUUAACUAAUAUUAAGGUUUGAGAAGAAAAACUAUGAUGUUCCUCAUUAAAUGAUGUAUAGGUAAAAACUGAAGAGUGGUUGAGAGUAGAAUAAGAAAAAAUUCGAAUAAUAAGUUAUUGAUGAGACAAUUAGUACUUUACUAUGACAAUUAUUUGAGACAAAUUUAAAUUCUAUAAAUAUAAUUAUUACGGAACGGAGGUAGUAGAAUUUUCUAAGAUGUGCUUUUCUUAAUUGUCAACAUGUGGUUAAUUGUGAGUGGAUGAGCUAUUACAUCCAUCCCUCUCUCCACUUGAUUGCAACUGUAGAACAACACAGCAUGGAAGGAGAUACGAGCCAUGUGACUAGUACAAAAUAAUGUAAUUACACCAUAAUGACUAAAAGAAAGAAAAAUCGUCAACUUGGGCUAAGUUUAUUGGCAAACAUUUCAUUGUCCAGCCCAGCCCAACGCUUUUGAAUAGGCCUAGUCCUGAAUCCAUUUCUUAGUCUUUUAAUAGGGAAAAGUACACGCAAGGUCCCUCAACUUGUCAGCGAGAUACAAAAUCAUCCCUGAACCGCAAAACCGGACAUCCGACGUCCCCCAACUUACAAAACCGGUCACAAAAGGUCCCUCGGCGGUUUUGACCCCGGUUUUGUCCCACGUGGCGGCUGACUCAGCGUGGGACCCACGUGGGCCCCCUCUCUCUCUCUUCUCUUUCCCUCCUCUCCCUUCCUCCUCUCUCUCUCUCUCUCACUUAUCUGCAAAGCUAGCCGGGGCGAGCAGGAGAGGAGGAGGGUGGCGCCGCGACGGCGACGGCGGCGGCGGCGGCCGUAGUGGGGAAGCAUGGCGGAGGCGCGGGGAGGCCGGAACCCUGCCGACGACGGCGAGCCCGUAGCCCUUGAGCCCGACGAACUUUGCUACCUGGGCACCGAUGCCGUACUCGCGGGAGUCGACGGCGAAGCCGAGCUCGACGUUGGCCUGGACGGUGUCGUGGCCAUCGUCUAGGAGGUUGUAGGCGCGGUGGCCGUGCGACCAGGGGAGCAAGGUGUCGGCGACAGGCGCGGCCUUGACCUCGCCACGGCGCGCAGCCUCAAUGGCGUCCGCGUGGCCGACGAGAUCCUGCGGCUUGUCCCGGACGCCGACGUGUUCCACACCACGCUGCGGUGCGUGAAGGAAUCGACAAGCUGCUCAGAGGAUUCGACGGCGCCGCGUCGUCGCAUCAUCCGUCGUUGUCUUGCAGCCAGCAAGGAGCCGCGGCGGCAGCAGGAACGGGAGGCCGUCUCCGCCGCGGCCGCCUCGACGCCGAGGAUCUCCGGGUGGCGCGGCCGACGGGGAAGGAGCGGCGGAGAGGAGAUCGACCGGCCGGCUCCCCACCCGGCGAACGCGAGCGCGAGCGCGAGGUUCGUGCUGGGCGGCGACGCGGCGGCGGAGACACGGGACAGCAAGCUCGGCGGCGGCAGGCGAGCGCAGCUGCGGAUGGGGAGCGGCGGCGCCGACGACUCCGCGCCGCUCGGCCUCAUCGUCGUCGGCGGCUCUGGGCGCGGGCGGAGGUCUCCUCUGAUAGGCGAUGGCGGCCGCGGUCACCGCGCCAUUGUACGCGGCGGGGGCGUCGCGCCGCCUUGCUUCUCGUCGCUCGUCCGCCAUCACCGACCGCACGAGGGGGACGAGGAGGCCGUCGAGCUCGCGCCGCCCUGAACCCGCGCGCCGCCACCGGGGAGCCGCCGUCGCCGGCCGCACCACCCUCCGGCUGCACGCGCCGCCGCCUGUGCGACAGCAAAGAGCGAGAGGAAGGAAGGAGAGAGAGAGGAGAAAAAGAGAGAGGGUGCUGACGUGGUCUCCAUGACAUGUGGGGUCCAUGUGGGUCCCAUGCUGAGUCAGCCGCCACGUGGGAUACAACCGGAGUCAAAACCGCCGAGGGACCUUUUGUGACCGGUUUUGUAAAUUGGGGGACGCCGGAUGUCCGGUUUUGCGGUCCAAGGACGAUUUUGUAUCUCGCUAACAAGUUGAGGGACCUUGCGUGUACUUUUCCCCUUUUAAUAUAGCAAAAUCUGCUAUAUAACAUCUACAAAUUGUGUAACUGGUUGUAGGACACCGUAAAAUUGUGUCACUGCUAAAGAACACAAUAAAAAUGGUAUAAUUGGUUGCAAGAUACCGAACACAUUAUUUUAUAAUUUUCAGGACAAAGUGGAGAGAGAAUGUUUUUAAAAAUACAAGUUUACCCCUGCUUUCCCUUUCUCCCCUUGUCUGGCUGGCUAUGAGGAGGCGAUCGCGGCUUCGACUGUGGCGAGUGGCAGUGCAAGCAGGCAGCAGCCCACUGCGAUGCGUGGCCCGCUCAGAGGGACGUCAGCCACCUGAGCAAGAGCAACAGCCCAGCGUUGGGCCUGUAACUCGGUAGCGGCCGAGGAGGAGGAACGACCAACGCAACGGCACAUCGUGGUGGCUGCCAAUGGCCAUAUUGCUAUCCUGGAGCCAUCGCUGAUCCCGAGCAUGCUCGACAAUGCGGCGGACGCAGCUAUGAAAACGGCCGUGGCCCUACGCAUUGCGUGUCAUUAUAUUGCUGUUCAUCGGCGUGGCGGUGAAGAGGGAGUAUGGGGGAGGAGAUCGACGGUGAGAGGGUGUCGUCGGCGGACGGUUGGGCGAGCAGGACGACAACGACUACGGCAGCAUCCGCAAUAAGCUCCAGUAUGUUUGUUCAUCUGCAUAGCACGGUCAACCUGGUACAUCACAUAUUUCCACGUGUGAUUGUUACAUUGUAUUGAUUUGUAUUUGUUCAUCUUUUGUUGAUUGAAUACAUGCGAAUCACUAAACUAUCGCUUUGUUUCUUCGAGCAGAAGCAGAAUGUCCAUUUAGGGUUUGUUUGGUUCCCGGUCAAGGUUGGAUGGGAGAUGACGGUCCAUAUUUUGCUGGAUAUGAAGAUCCAGUUUUCUGUUUGGUGGAGUGGAUAUGGUGAUCUAUUUUUUUUGUAAGGAUAAAGGUGGAUUUAGUGAUCCAUUUUUCUGUUUGGCUGGGGGAGUAGUAUGGAUGAGUGGCUACAAUCACAUUUUCAUUAGAGAUGGUUAGUAUACCCCUUCAAAUCACCAAACCCAAAAAAAUAUCAAUCUAGUACAAGCAAAAAAAUCUAUAUAACAUAAAAAUUCAGAAAGAAAUAAAAUGGGGAAAGGAGAAAAAAGGAAAAAAAAAGUGGUCCUCUUCGCCAACCGCCGCCGCGCUCCUCUCCUGCUGGCCGCCGCCUCGUCUCCUCUAGAUCCGGUUGUCGUUGUCAUCAAUGUUGUCUCGGUCAUCGUAGUCGUCUCUUGCCAGGUCGUCAUUGUUGUUAUCGUCGUCAAGUUCUGGUCGUCGUCAUCCUAGUCGGCGGCGGUGAUUCAUUCUCCUCCGGGCUCGCCACCGUCCCUUCUUCCCGUUGCCGCCGUCUCUAGCCUUCGGGCUGGCCGCCACCCCUUCUUUCCGCUGCCGCCGCCUCCAACCUUCGGGCUCGCUGCCCCCCUUCUUUCCGCUGCCGCCACCACACUCGCACCCACUUGCCGGCAGCCGAGCUUGCAUCCCACUGCCUCCCUCGCGUCGUCGUUGUUCUCGCAUGGUGAGAGGGGUGACGUGACCCACCUCGUCGCUCGCCCCGCUCGCCCGAGCGCUCGGGCGGCUGUAUCCGGGCAAAUCGGCCGGAUUAAUCCAUCCAUCAUCUAGGGGGAAUAUUCCCCUCUGGGCUAUCCUAUCCUACUCCCGCCCACCAACCAAACACCGAUAAAAAAAUGGAACGCCAUAUCCUAUCCGCCCAAAACCCUCCAUCCAACUGAAGCUCGGACUAAGGCAGGGGCAAACUUGUCUUUUUUAAAUUUCUCUCCUCCUUUUACUUAAAAAUUAUAAAAUAAUGACUGUAGUGCCCUAUAGCCAAUUACAUUAUUUUUGUGGUGUUUCUCGGCAAUGACACGAUUUUACGUUAUCCCUCAGCUAAUUACACAAAUUUUGAAUGUCCCACGACAAAUUUUGCCUCUAAUAUUCUGCACAAAUAUUCUCAAUUUUCAAAAAUUCCUAAAUGUACAAAAAGAAACAAAAUAAUUCAACACAGCAUUUUUUUGUAUAAUGUGCAGAAGGUUCCUAAAUGUACAAAAAGAAACAAAAUAAUUCAACACAGCAUUUUUUUGUAUAAUGUGCAGAAGGUGCUAUCAUUUCUAGCCCAAAUGAACACCUACUCUGUUUUUACGCAUCAUCUACACCGGCGGCAAGGCGUCAUCACCCGGCGGCGCCGCCGUCUCCGCCGCCGUGGCCUCUUUCGCGGCCACUUCCCGGGGCGGCGAGAGGUCGCACCGGCACAUCGGGCAAGUCCGGUGCGAGUGCAGCCACAUGUCGAUGCACUCCACGUGGAACAGGUGCUUGCACGCCGGCAUCUCCCGCACUAUCUCGCCGGCAUGCAGCUCCUCCAGGCACACCGAGCACGGCUCGCCGUUCCCGGCCUCGAGGUCGCCGCCGCCCUGCGCGGCGCCAGCGCCACCGGACGCGUACGCGAACGUCGGCAGCGCGUCCACCGCGGCCUUCUCGAGCCCGAACGUGCUGGAGGAAGAAGCUCCCGGCUGAGCCUCCCGCUCCGCGGCGCGGGUGUUCGUCCCGCCGCGGCGGCGGCACCAGCUCGCCGGCGCGAGGUAGUCGGCGACGCCGAAGGCCAGUAGCACCAUCCCGGCGAGCACGGACGCCUUCCAGACGCUGCCGACGACGGCGAGCACGCAGAACAGCAGCACCGCCGCGAAGGACGCCGCGAUGCCGUAGCAUGCGCGGCGGCCGCGGCCGCCGCCCCGCUCCUCCUCGCCGCCGCCCCGCAGCGUCGCCGCCGAUAUCCUCGCGAACACGUUCGACAUGAUCGCCGGUCGCCGCCGUCGCUGGUCAGGUGGUGCGCUUGCGCGGCGAAUGAUAUAGGAAGCCGGCGGCGUGCGAGGUCGUGAAUUUGAAGGUCGCGGCGGCGGCGGCGGCGGCGGCGUGGCACACAAAACCGGUGGCCUUUUUGACGGGAAAAGCGUGUGUUUGUUUCCGGUCAAGUUUAUCGCGCCCGCCAUUGGCUAUUUUUUUGGCUUAGAGAGAGAAAAAUGGAAGAUAUGAAUUCUAAGUUUCCAUCUGUUCGUUGACGGCACGGUGGAAUUAAAGGAAAGCUACGUCGUCGUCCCUGCAGACCGCAGUAGAAAAAUCGGGCAAGAUGCGUGGUCAACAAGAGCGCAAUGCAUUUGAAAUCGUUUUCUCUCAGUUUGGCAUCGUUUUCUCAGUUUGGACAGAAUUGUGCUAAAUUUGUGUUGAGAUGACUCAACUGAAUUACAGUAGUUAGAGUACUGAAUUUCCAGCUUCGGAUCGCUUACCUGUUUGUAAAAUGUUCUAUUUCUUUCGUCUAAACAAACGGGAGUUAAUUUUCUCGGCAAAUUCGCAUCAUUGUAAUGAACUUAUCGUGUCUCCUUUUUGACACUCUGUAAGCUUUCUACCCAUUUUCUUAGGCAGAGCUCCUACUGCUUCUGGUUAACAAAACCUAUGUACAAAACAACAGUGAUAUGAUUAACAACAUAUUUGAAUUUUGAAGAAUAGAAAUACUGUUCGAUCAAUGGCACAAACUAAUUACAAUUCACAACAGACGUACACUGUAAAUUUCUCUGCAAGCUUAAUUAGGCCAAUGCAAAUAAUCGACCAUAUAAUAUACUCUCUUAUAUUUACACUCACACGUGCAACAGCUGGUAGCUACACCGGUGGCAGAACGUCGUCGGCCGUCGACUCCGGCGACACCACCACCUCCGCCGCGGCCUUCGCUGCCGCCCUCGCCGGCGGCGACACCACGCACCGGCACAUCGGGCACGUCCGGUGCGGCGAGUGCAGCCACAUGUCGAUGCACUCCACGUGGAACAGGUGCCCGCACGCCGGCAGCCGUCGCACCGUCUCGCCGCCGCGCACGUCCUCCAGGCACACCGCGCACACCGCGCAGCUCCCCGCGGCGGCGGCGGCGCCGCUCUCGAGCGGGCACCCGUGCACGAACGCCGGCGGCGCGUUCGCCGGCGCGCGCGCGAGCGCAUCCGCCGCCGGCCGCCGCCGAGCGCCGGCCGCAGCUCGCUCCGCCUCCGCGCCGCCGCGGCUCCGGCGAACCCACCUCUUGGGGGCGAAGCAGCCGACGACGCUGAGGACCAGCGCGGCCAUGGCGGCGUACGCGCACGCCUUCCAGACGCUGACAGAAGCCGCCAGCGCGCAGAACAGGAAGAUGGACAGGCAGACGACGGCGAUGCCGUAGAACACGCGGAAUCCGUCGACGUCGUCGCCGGCGGCGGCGGUGGAGCUCGCCGCCGACGACCUCGGGUACCAGUUGAGCAUGAUGAGUCGAGACAAGUGCAAAGAUCGUGCAACGUAAACGCAAUGCUCGAUCUCGCGAUUGCCUCGAGUAAAACUUGAUCAGUAAUUAGUUUGCAACUAAUGUCGCCGUGGUCGAAUGUUUUUUACAGCUAUAAAUACGGUGUUUAGCUACGUGGUUUGGCACAAUGUUUUUAGCGUGUCACUGCUGCCAUCGUGGUCAAUUUGCUAACAGCUAAAUUAAUCAGGGAAAAUUCAGGUUUACACUGAGCUGUACUGUGGAGUUUUUUAUGGAUUAAUUACUUUAUCUGGAUGAUGGCUACAUGGAUGGAUUAAGGUUAAUCCUUCUUACAACAUCGCUAAUCGAGAGCUUCGGGGUCGACGUGACGUGUUUAUUCCGUGGCAUUGUUCAGCUGCCGUCUACGGAACAGACAGGUUUACUGUUUAUAUAUUUUACUAUCGUCUAAUUAAAGGAGAAACUGUGUGAAGCUAGCCACAUCCAUUGUGGUUCAUAUUGGAAUACCCAACCCACGGAAUGAAAGUUGUAACCUUUGUAGAAUAGAAAUACCAUCAACUAUUUUGGGGUUAAUUGCAUCACAUUAUUGCAAAUAUGCCAUAUUAGAGAAAUCUCAUUACUAUUCACAAUAUUGGUUGGGUGUUACUGUAAUAUUAUAAAAUUGAAUUGACGCUAUCGUCAUCACGUUUUUCAUUAGGCUCUUCUUACUUCUCUUCUUUUCUUCUCCUCUCCUCUCCUUCUUCCUCUAUCCUCGCAUUCUUCUCCCUUCCACUGGCCACUGCUAUUGUUGCUGCUGCACCUGUGCCAUCGCGCUCGCCAUGGGCCUAUGGCGAUGCUCACCGCCGUGGUCGCCGCCUCGACCUCACUCCUCCAUGCCGCUGAUGGUGGUCACCAUCUCGUGACCGCUCUUGCAAACAAACCGAGGAACACGAACUCAAAGUCAGCUGCAAAGUGGGAGGUGAGGAGAAGGGAACGGACGAAGGAGCGGUGGGUUGGCGGCGAAGUCCUAGGUGUACUUGGAGUCCUAGUAGGUGGAGGUGUCAACGUUGUAGGAAGACUUGCUGCUACCACACGAGGCGGCGGAGGCAGCGGCGCCGGACAUGGACUCCUAGGAGAGGCUCAUCCAUUGGUCGCAGAUACACCGCGUUGCCAGGGCUGACGUCGCCACCAUUCGCUGCGCCACCAUAUCGCCGGAGCCACAUCGACCUCUUCGCAGACGGCUUUUGUGGAGGGAGCAUGGGACUGGGAUGACGCGGGCAAGGAGAGGGGGGAGGGAGCAGGGACUUGGAGGACAACGGCGGCGGUAACUCCACUGCCAACGCCGGUGAUCGAGAGGCACACCUUCCUCGCCGGCUGCUACAUUUGAAACGAGAUGGAGAGAGAUAUGGAAGAAAGAAGAGGGAACGAUGGAGAAAGAAGAUGGAAUUGACAUGUGGGUCUCACGUUUAGGGGUAUUUUGGUCUAUAUGAUGAUGGAAAACGUGACAGUGACAAUUAUUUCGAAUGACAUGAAUACGAACAGACGAAUUGUAAUGAAAAUUAUCUUAAUCGACAUUUUUGCAAUGACAUGGAUCCAAUUACCCCUUUAUUUUGCUUUCCUAAUAUUAGAUCUUAGUUACAUUACUCUGAAGUCUCGCCUUUAGAUUCAUUCGAGAAUUCUGGGUAGAUUUGUUGUUGUAAUCUAGGAGGGAAUGGACCAUACUCGUCUCCCCUGUUGUUCUUGAGUCUUCGAGCCUCUUCCCUUGAGAUGCAAUACGCAUUAGCGAUAACAUCAACUGGUAAGGCAUGGAAUACUGAGUCUACCCCUGCAAGGUGGCUCACGAAGGCAUUAGCGUUUGUGUUGAUUGCAAUAUAUUGGCAUCCUUCAUGUUGUGCUUUCUUUAAGACAACAUAGUUUUGUGGAAUAAUCAAUAGUUGUUCUGGACGAAGAACACCGUCGAACACAGUCUUUCCAAAGUUACUGACGACUUGGACUCGAGCACGCCCUCGAAUCACAUACAUCAAACUAUGAGCAUUUACAUUCCAGAAUGGUGUGAGAAUAGCAUUCUGCAGAGGGGAGUAGAAAAUAAUGUUCCUUAUAUAUUUCAUGAAUCAGAGAACUUUUCUUAAUAUAAAGAUAAGAGAAUGUUGCUAUUACAAAUACCUGGUAUAGAUUUACUCUAGUAGCACUCAUUUGGAUGAUAUUAAGGAUAGGGAAUUUCUGACUAUCAAGACUUGUGAUCCUUCCAGCACGUGGAUCGUAUGAAUCAGCACGACUUGGAUUUUCAAUGUUUAACCUCGUCUUGAUUGUGCACAAGUUCUCCUCUAAACCGUUCCAUCGGGAAGAUGUUUGUGGUUUUUCACUAUAUUGGACUUCUUGGUAUUGAGCUUGUUCUUGUUCUUGUCGUUGUGUCAAAGUUGGUUUCAGCAAUUGAAGGCCAUUCUUUACAUGUAUGAUCUCUCCUCUUUGGUCAUUUUGGCUUUGUAGCCUCUUUGUUGUUACUGUGUUGAUGUUUAAAGCCUCACUUAGUGGCUCAACACUGAAUCCAUUGAAUAUGUUUUGCCCAGAGUGUUGCUGAAUUGAGCGACCAUACACUUGUUGUACCCUAUUGUUCUUACCAGCCAAUAAGAACUCCUAAAAUUAUCAAUGGAUAAUUGAAAUAUGAAACGUAGUGGAAAAACAUAAAACAAUCAUAGUUUCAAUAAAAAUAUAUUUGUUUAGAAAAGUAGUUACCCUAUGCCUUGGUUCAAGUUGAUUAGCGCUAUUGUUUAUGUCAUAAACAUAUAGGGCAACAACAGGCGUGUCACCAUCAUUGUAGAACCAAUGUGCAACACCUGUUGGGAGUACAACGAUAUCACCUUGCCUAAAUUGAUGAAUCUUUUGGUGCUCAUCUAUAAACUUUUGGCUCUGACUUUCGCCUUGAAACAAAAACUGUUGGGAUUGCUGCUGGUAAGUUGCGGGGCAUCCAGGGAAGGUUAGACCCAUAGAACCUCUUCCUAAAAAUUAUAAUGUUUACAUUAGAUGCAUAAAACAUAAAAACAUAUUCUUUUUACCGUGAAGAUCAUAAUUGCUAGUCUUAUUAACAAAGUUUUAUAGUACAUUAUCAUUGUACAAACCUUGGAUGAUGUAGACCAUGCCAGGAGUAUUGGCGUAUCGAGGUAUUAGAAGGCCUUGAGGUUGAAUAACACGUCGGAUGACAAAUGUACCUGUGCACUGAAACAAUUCAUUCGUCUCAUCAAAGUACUCGGUCACACCAGCUUCCGACCUCACAUUCUGAAGAGGCUCAAAUGCUUGUAGUCUCUCAAAUCUACACUCCCUAAAGCUUCCUUGUCGAUGAGUUUGCCAUUGGUUUGUGGCUGGAUCAAAUAGUUGGGCCAUAGAUCCAUUGCACAAGAGAAGAACACAAAAGUAUAUAGAAAAUCGAGAGAAAACGGAAAUAGUCAUAGCUUUUGUAUAUACUAAUAAAACAAAGCUAAUUGUGUGAAUUGAAGGAUAGAUCAAGCUAGUUUAUAUAGCAAAGAAAAUGAGUUUGUUACAUCUAUGGACAAUAUCAGGCUUGUGGUGUCAAAAUUGUAUAUAGGGAAAAGCAACUUUUGGAAUUGAGUUAUACAUAUCAUGACUCAGCUAUGACAUACUUCUUGUGUUUUUGGGAGCUUAUUAAGAUAUGUCUAGCUAUCUAUGUCAUUGCCUUGUCAAUAUAUUUGUUUUUCACCAUAAAGCUCCUAUACUUGACAAGCUAAGUCUUAAUUUAAAUAACAAACUUGUAAGCAUGUUGUCAUUUUUGCGUGGCACACUAUACUUUCUAAGAUAAACAUUCUUUCAAAAUAGCAAACUUGUAGGUUUGUUGUCAUUUUCACAUGGCAUAGUAUAUUUUCACAUGGCAUAUUUUGUGGAGGAAAUUCCAUCUAUACCACUAUAUUUUCAUGGGUACCAAGUAGUACCACCUGAGCCUUGCAUCUCCACAAAAUAUUACUGGGUGCAUUUAAAACUUCUAAAUUUACCACUGUCUUAUGCUCGACUAUACCAUCUUUUACUGAACUCGGAUUUUUGCAUGCGCAAUCAUGGAGCUUGGAUGAGGAGCAGAUCUAUCAAUUGACAAAUGAGGACAUUGAGGGGGCAACAUAUAUGAGAAGAUGCCAGAGUUCAUCGAGACUUAGGGUAAAUGCCCUCGCGCACCUUCAUUUGUUGGCCUCUGCUUCGCCACCACUAUUGAUACAGAAAUGGCCACGAUGGUUGUUUCACCACAUGGAUUAGAGCUUAUUGCAUCCCUUGUCUAAAGCUCAUUGGUGGAGUAGUAGUCUAUUAUGAAGUUGUGGCUGCGGGGAGGUGAUUAGAAGCAUAUCGGAGUAGAUGGGACAAGUGACCCUCAACGAGGGUGCGUUGAUGAGUAAGGAUUAGAGAAGGAGAAGUACGAGGAAGGGUAUUUUGGUCCUCUUUUAACACUGAUUUUUCUGGUGUAUGUGGUACAAUAUCCUCUUAUGCCAUGUAAAAAUAAACCAGUUAAGUUGACAAAACAUAUAUGUGUUAGUAAUUUUGACAUGCUAAAAGCCUUUUUAUAUUUUCUUGACUUUAUAACUUGUCAAUCAAAUUUCUGUAACUAUUUUGAAACAAUUCAUUUUGAUAAUUUUACAAAUCAAAAUUUGAUGUGUCCAUCUAUUGCAAUUUGGUCUUUAUAUUUUCUUAUAUAAAACAUAACCCACUAACUUGAUUUAAAGAUUCUUUCAGACAUAGCUGCAUUAUUAUAAGUUAAUUAUGAUGCUCUCUAGAUUAAAUUAUUUCUUGGACUUUGUGUUAAUGGUGUAGUUGUGUCUUACAUUUUGGGUUGCAGAGAGUACUAACACUGAUAUGUUAUUAUAAGAGUGCAUUUAGAUUAUCUAUAACUUCUAUUUAGUUAAAUCAAACAACUGGGUCAAACAACUGGGAUCAUUAUUUGAAUUCUAUAAGAAUUUUUAAGUAUAUGUAAGCAGGUCUCGUGUUGUUUUGUACUUUUUUUGAUAAAUUAAGACUUUAAAUUUAUUUAUCUACACGAAGAGUCAGAUUUAGCUCGUCAAUUGUAAUAAAUUAAGCGUCAAUUGUAAUAAAUUAAGACUGUUUUGUACCACUUUUAGUCACAAUCUAAGAAUAUUUGAUCAGCUUAAUCGGCUCAUCUUAUAUGGUGACUGCAAAUGUAAAAAUCCUAGACGAAGACUGGGUCACAAAUGUGACUUCUUUUUCUUCUAUGGAAGAGAUUAUGCUCCUCUUUAGCACCUCUUUAGCACAACUUUAGAUUUAAGAUUUUUAUAGAAUGUGCUCGAAAUGGGGCACAACUUGAUAACAUUUGAAUAAAUCAUCUUGUUCUCAUUUUUUUCGAAUGGGCACAACUUCACAAAUUUAUAAAUCUAAAUAUAUGAUUAACUUGAUAACAUUUAAAUAAUUCAUUUUGUUCUCAAUUUUAUAUUAAAUUUUAAAUAACUAUAAUUUAAUAUACAAACUUCAAAUUUAUCUUGGAUCUGAGAAUAAAUUGGAGCUGUUACAAACAGCACAUAUACAUAUAUAGGCAUAUAUUAGCAAUCAAGCAGCGCGCGAAGUGUAUUUACAAUUAUCAUUAUACAUUUGAUAGUAUCUCAUUAGAAUUCUAAUCCAGCGAAAAGCUUAAACGGAAGGCAAUGGCGGCAGCAACGACUCGUGCGUCACCAGCCGUGGCCGCGGGCGCCCGCUCGCCGUGCCUCCUCGCCGCGACGACAGGUCGGAGCGGCAGAGCGGGCACGUCGUGCGCGAGCGCAGCCACGCGUCGAUGCACGCCGCGUGGUACAGGUGCCCGCACGCCGGCAGCCACCGCACCGUCUCGCCGCCACGGACGUCCUCGAGGCACACCGAGCACGCCGGGUCGCCGCCGCCGCCGCGCGGGCGCUCGUACUCCGACGCCGGCAGCGCGUCGAUCGCCGCGGCCGUGAGCCCGCACUCGGCCGGCGUGGGGGCUCCCGCGCCCGCGCGCCCCACUGAUCUCCGCGGCGCCACGACGCGCCAGCCGAUGGCGAGGAGCGCGGCGGCCAUGGCGACGAACGCGCACGCCUUCCAGACGACGACGGAGACGGCGAGGGCGCAGAACACGGCGAGCGUGCCGCCGCACGCGCCGUCGAGAACCCCAUACCCGCCGCUGCCGUCGUCGUCAUCGUCGUCGACGCCGACGCCGACGCCGGUGCUCGCCGUGAGCCGCGAGUACAGGUUGACGAGCAGCAUGGUCACUCAGUGUGGAGACAGAGAGAGCAACGCAGAGUAAUUAACGUUGGUUUAACACAAAACCACUCGCUGCACAGCUCGUUGGUUGGUUUAAGUACCCGUAAAUUACCAUCAGGUUUACAUCAUGUUGCGCUUAAUACACAUACUUAACGAAAUAGUUAAAAUGAUUCUGUUAAUCGCACGGCGGAUUAAUGUUGCAAAACGCGUGUGCUGCCACGGCGUGUUGAUCGUGUACGUGCCGUCGAGGCGCCGGCGAGGUCAUGACGUGUUUAUAGAAUUCGUGACGUAUCUCUCUUUGCAAGAGUGUGAAAGUGAGGUGAGUGACAGCAACAGCACACGUAAACUCUCGAGGGAAUAUGCUUGUUGUUGUUUGCAUUUCAUUAAAAUUAUUAUGAAAAGAUUUGAAAAUUUUUUUGAUGAAAUAAAUUAAUAUGUGAUAGAUCACUCCAUAAAUAUACAUGAUUAAAUUUAACUUUACAAGUUGUAAAAAAUAUUGAUUGUGAAUACACGUUAACUAGCUAUAGUUUAAUUUGUUCUUUUCAUUACAACUUAUUUUAACUUGCAUGUUUGUGUAGUGUUAUAUCACAUGUUAAUAUAUCUUUUUAUUUUUUUAUUUGUUUUUCAUAAUUAUUUGGAUAACAUGCAAAUAACAAGGAGACAACAUGUAGUGAAUGCUAUCCCAACAUUUGUAAUUCCGAAUGGAAAAUCAUAAUAAGAUGGAAGAUGAAAGAAAAAGGACAUCAUGAACUCAGUUUUGUUUUAAUUUUGUUCUUUGCAAAACAAAGUACAUAAAACUAUUGCAAAGCAUCCACAACAAGCUUGAUGUGCUUUAUUAUUUUUGCUUGCAUAGUACUCAUAAUCUAUAAGUUUUACAUGCCGAUUAAAGAGAGGCCUUCAGUUAGGAACUGGUAACCCCGCUGGCUCUUCUGGGGGAAACGAGGAGUAAAAGGGCCAAUCUCAUCUGCCCUAUUAUUCUUUAGACGUCGGGCUUCAUCCCUCGAGAUACGAUAAGCAUUGGCAAUAACAUCUACAGGCAAUGCACGUAAUAUGGAGUUCUUUCCAGCAACCCAACUCACCGUAGGGUCCGAAAUUGUCUUUAUUGCGACAUACUGGCACCCAUUGUGCUCGGCUUUCUUAAUGACGGCAUGGUUUUGUGGUAUGAUUAAUAGUUGCCCCUGAUGAAGUACACCAUUAAACACAGAUCUUCCUUGAUUAUUGGCAACCUGUACUCGCACACUUCCUUGGAUGAUAUACACUACACUAUGGGCAUUAAUGUUCCAGAAG